This 242-nucleotide ribosomal RNA is filed under the name uncultured bacterium. Its description in RNAcentral is "partial 16S ribosomal RNA". It matches the Rfam family "Bacterial small subunit ribosomal RNA", at positions 99 to 334 of the family's 1533-position model. The record is from RNAcentral.
CGGACGGGUGAGUAACACGUGGGUAACCUGCCCAUCAGAAGGGGAUAACACUUGGAAACAGGUGCUAAUACCGUAUAACAAUUGGAACCGCAUGGUUCUAAUUUGAAAGACGCUUUCGGGUGUCACUGAUGGAUGGACCCGCGGUGCAUUAGCUAGUUGGUGAGGUAACGGCUCACCAAGGCAACGAUGCAUAGCCGACCUGAGAGGGUGAUCGGCCACACUGGGACUGAGACACGGCCCAG